CCUACGGGUGGCAGCAGUGGGGAAUAUUGGACAAUGGGGGCAACCCUGAUCCAGCCAUGCCGCGUGUGUGAAGAAGGCCCUCGGGUUGUAAAGCACUUUCAGGGAGGAAGAACGCCUGGUGGUUAAUACCCAUCAGGAAAGACAUCACUCACAGAAGAAGCACCGGCUAACUCCGUGCCAGCAGCCGCGGUAAUACGGAGGGUGCGAGCGUUAAUCGGAAUUACUGGGCGUAAAGCGCGCGUAGGUGGCUUGAUAAGCCGGUUGUGAAAGCCCCGGGCUCAACCUGGGAACGGCAUCCGGAACUGUCAAGCUAGAGUGCAGGAGAGGAAGGUAGAAUUCCCGGUGUAGCGGUGAAAUGCGUAGAGAUCGGGAGGAAUACCAGUGGCGAAGGCGGCCUUCUGGACUGACACUGACACUGAGGUGCGAAAGCGUGGGUAGCAAACAGGAUUAGAUACCCCAGUAGUC
Molecule: ribosomal RNA, 465 nt
Filed under: Vreelandella stevensii
Lineage: Bacteria; Pseudomonadati; Pseudomonadota; Gammaproteobacteria; Oceanospirillales; Halomonadaceae
Description: partial 16S ribosomal RNA
Rfam family: Bacterial small subunit ribosomal RNA
Source: RNAcentral